UAGGGAAUAUUGGGCAAUGGGCGCAAGCCUGACCCAGCAACGCCGCGUGAGGGAAGAAGGUUUUCGGAUUGUAAACCUCUGUCCUAUGUGACGAAGGAAGUGACGGUAGCAUAGGAGGAAGCCCCGGCUAACUACGUGCCAGCAGCCGCGGUAAUACGUAGGUGGCAAGCGUUGUCCGGAAUUACUGGGUGUAAAGGGAGCGCAGGCGGGAAAUCAAGUUGGAUGUGAAAUGUCGGGGCUUAACCCCCGGAACUGCAUCCAAAACUGAUAUUCUUGAGUGAAGUAGAGGUAGGCGGAAUUCCGAGUGUAGCGGUGAAAUGCGUAGAUAUUCGGAGGAACACCAGUGGCGAAGGCGGCUUGCUGGGCUUUUACUGACGCUGAGGCUCGAAAGUGUGGGGAGCAAACAGGAUUAGAUACCCUGGUAGUCCACACUGUAAACGAUGGUAGCUAGGUGUGGGGGGUCUGACCCCUUCCGUGCCGGAGUUAACGCAAUAAGCUAUCCACCUGGGGAGUACGACCGCAAGGUUGAAACUCAAAGGAAUUGACGGGGGCCCGCACAAGCAGUGGAUUAUGUGGUUUAAUUCGAAGCAACGCGAAGAACCUUACCAGGUCUUGACAUCCGACUAACGAGAUAGAGAUAUGUCAGGUGCCCUUCGGGGAAAGUCGAGACAGGUGGUGCAUGGUUGUCGUCAGCUCGUGUCGUGAGAUGUUGGGUUAAGUCCCGCAACGAGCGCAACCCCUGCCAUUAGUUGCUACGCAAGAGCACUCUAAUGGGACCGCUACCGACAAGGUGGAGGAAGGUGGGGACGACGUCAAAUCAUCAUGCCCCUUAUGACCUGGGCUACACACGUAAUACAAUGGCCGUUAACAGAGGGAAGCAAAGCGGUGACGCAGAGCAAAACCCUAAAAACGGUCCCAGUUCGGACUGUAGGCUGCAACCCGCCUACACGAAGUUGGAAUUGCUAGUAAUCGCGGAUCAGCAUGCCGCGGUGAAUACGUUCCC
Molecule: ribosomal RNA, 1003 nt
Filed under: uncultured bacterium
Lineage: Bacteria
Description: bacterial SSU rRNA
Rfam family: Bacterial small subunit ribosomal RNA
Source: RNAcentral